RNAcentral lists this ribosomal RNA (427 nucleotides) under uncultured Alphaproteobacteria bacterium. Its description in RNAcentral is "bacterial SSU rRNA". It matches the Rfam family "Bacterial small subunit ribosomal RNA", at positions 44 to 516 of the family's 1533-position model. The record is from RNAcentral. Lineage: Bacteria; Pseudomonadati; Pseudomonadota; Alphaproteobacteria.
ACGCCUAACACAUGCAAGUCGAACGAAGUAGCAAUACUUAGUGGCAGACGGGUGAGUAACAUGUAGGUAUCUACCCUUUGGCCUGGAAUAACACGAGGAAACUUGUGCUAAUACCGGAUAAGUCUUUACAGAGAAAGCUUUAUGCACCAUUGGAUGAGCCUGCACUAGAUUAGUUUGUUGGUGGGGUAAUGGCCUACCAAGACUGUGAUCUAUAGCUGAUUUGAGAGGAUGAUCAGCCACAUUGGGACUGAGACACGGCCCAAACUCCUACGGGAGGCAGCAGUGGGGAAUCUUGCACAAUGGAGGAAACUCUGAUGCAGCGAUGCCGCGUGAGUGAAGAAGGCCUUUGGGUUGUAAAGCUCUUUCGUCGGGGAAGAAAAUGACUGUACCCGAAUAAGAAGGUCCGGCUAACUUCGUGCCAGCAGCC